This 2927-nucleotide ribosomal RNA is filed under the name Escherichia coli O25b:H4. RNAcentral describes it as "23S ribosomal RNA". It matches the Rfam family "Bacterial large subunit ribosomal RNA". The record is from RNAcentral. Lineage: Bacteria; Pseudomonadati; Pseudomonadota; Gammaproteobacteria; Enterobacterales; Enterobacteriaceae.
GGGUUGUGAGGUUAAGCGACUAAGCGUACACGGUGGAUGCCCUGGCAGUCAGAGGCGAUGAAGGACGUGCUAAUCUGCGAUAAGCGUCGGUGAGGUGAUAUGAACCGUUAUAACCGGCGAUUUCCGAAUGGGGAAACCCAGUGUGUUUCGACACACUAUCAUUAACUGAAUCCAUAGGUUAAUGAGGCGAACCGGGGGAACUGAAACAUCUAAGUACCCCGAGGAAAAGAAAUCAACCGAGAUUCCCCCAGUAGCGGCGAGCGAACGGGGAGGAGCCCAGAGCCUGAAUCAGUGUGUGUGUGUUAGUGGAAGCGUCUGGAAAGGCGCGCGAUACAGGGUGACAGCCCCGUACACAAAAAUGCACAUAUUGUGAGCUCGAUGAGUAGGGCGGGACACGUGGUAUCCUGUCUGAAUAUGGGGGGACCAUCCUCCAAGGCUAAAUACUCCUGACUGACCGAUAGUGAACCAGUACCGUGAGGGAAAGGCGAAAAGAACCCCGGCGAGGGGAGUGAAAAAGAACCUGAAACCGUGUACGUACAAGCAGUGGGAGCCUCUUAAUGGGGUGACUGCGUACCUUUUGUAUAAUGGGUCAGCGACUUAUAUUCUGUAGCAAGGUUAACCGAAUAGGGGAGCCGAAGGGAAACCGAGUCUUAACUGGGCGUUAAGUUGCAGGGUAUAGACCCGAAACCCGGUGAUCUAGCCAUGGGCAGGUUGAAGGUUGGGUAACACUAACUGGAGGACCGAACCGACUAAUGUUGAAAAAUUAGCGGAUGACUUGUGGCUGGGGGUGAAAGGCCAAUCAAACCGGGAGAUAGCUGGUUCUCCCCGAAAGCUAUUUAGGUAGCGCCUCGUGAAUUCAUCUCCGGGGGUAGAGCACUGUUUCGGCAAGGGGGUCAUCCCGACUUACCAACCCGAUGCAAACUGCGAAUACCGGAGAAUGUUAUCACGGGAGACACACGGCGGGUGCUAACGUCCGUCGUGAAGAGGGAAACAACCCAGACCGCCAGCUAAGGUCCCAAAGUCAUGGUUAAGUGGGAAACGAUGUGGGAAGGCCCAGACAGCCAGGAUGUUGGCUUAGAAGCAGCCAUCAUUUAAAGAAAGCGUAAUAGCUCACUGGUCGAGUCGGCCUGCGCGGAAGAUGUAACGGGGCUAAACCAUGCACCGAAGCUGCGGCAGCGACACUAUGUGUUGUUGGGUAGGGGAGCGUUCUGUAAGCCUGUGAAGGUGUACUGUGAGGUAUGCUGGAGGUAUCAGAAGUGCGAAUGCUGACAUAAGUAACGAUAAAGCGGGUGAAAAGCCCGCUCGCCGGAAGACCAAGGGUUCCUGUCCAACGUUAAUCGGGGCAGGGUGAGUCGACCCCUAAGGCGAGGCCGAAAGGCGUAGUCGAUGGGAAACAGGUUAAUAUUCCUGUACUUGGUGUUACUGCGAAGGGGGGACGGAGAAGGCUAUGUUGGCCGGGCGACGGUUGUCCCGGUUUAAGCGUGUAGGCUGGUUUUCCAGGCAAAUCCGGAAAAUCAAGGCUGAGGCGUGAUGACGAGGCACUACGGUGCUGAAGCGACAAAUGCCCUGCUUCCAGGAAAAGCCUCUAAGCAUCAGGUAACAUCAAAUCGUACCCCAAACCGACACAGGUGGUCAGGUAGAGAAUACCAAGGCGCUUGAGAGAACUCGGGUGAAGGAACUAGGCAAAAUGGUGCCGUAACUUCGGGAGAAGGCACGCUGAUAUGUAGGUGAAGCGACUUGCUCGUGGAGCUGAAAUCAGUCGAAGAUACCAGCUGGCUGCAACUGUUUAUUAAAAACACAGCACUGUGCAAACACGAAAGUGGACGUAUACGGUGUGACGCCUGCCCGGUGCCGGAAGGUUAAUUGAUGGGGUUAGCGGUAACGCGAAGCUCUUGAUCGAAGCCCCGGUAAACGGCGGCCGUAACUAUAACGGUCCUAAGGUAGCGAAAUUCCUUGUCGGGUAAGUUCCGACCUGCACGAAUGGCGUAAUGAUGGCCAGGCUGUCUCCACCCGAGACUCAGUGAAAUUGAACUCGCUGUGAAGAUGCAGUGUACCCGCGGCAAGACGGAAAGACCCCGUGAACCUUUACUAUAGCUUGACACUGAACAUUGAGCCUUGAUGUGUAGGAUAGGUGGGAGGCUUUGAAGUGUGGACGCCAGUCUGCAUGGAGCCGACCUUGAAAUACCACCCUUUAAUGUUUGAUGUUCUAACGUGGGCCCCUUACCGGGGUUGCGGACAGUGUCUGGUGGGUAGUUUGACUGGGGCGGUCUCCUCCUAAAGAGUAACGGAGGAGCACGAAGGUUGGCUAAUCCUGGUCGGACAUCAGGAGGUUAGUGCAAUGGCAUAAGCCAGCUUGACUGCGAGCGUGACGGCGCGAGCAGGUGCGAAAGCAGGUCAUAGUGAUCCGGUGGUUCUGAAUGGAAGGGCCAUCGCUCAACGGAUAAAAGGUACUCCGGGGAUAACAGGCUGAUACCGCCCAAGAGUUCAUAUCGACGGCGGUGUUUGGCACCUCGAUGUCGGCUCAUCACAUCCUGGGGCUGAAGUAGGUCCCAAGGGUAUGGCUGUUCGCCAUUUAAAGUGGUACGCGAGCUGGGUUUAGAACGUCGUGAGACAGUUCGGUCCCUAUCUGCCGUGGGCGCUGGAGAACUGAGGGGGGCUGCUCCUAGUACGAGAGGACCGGAGUGGACGCAUCACUGGUGUUCGGGUUGUCAUGCCAAUGGCACUGCCCGGUAGCUAAAUGCGGAAGAGAUAAGUGCUGAAAGCAUCUAAGCACGAAACUUGCCCCGAGAUGAGUUCUCCCUGACUCCUUGAGAGUCCUGAAGGAACGUUGAAGACGACGACGUUGAUAGGCCGGGUGUGUAAGCGCAGCGAUGCGUUGAGCUAACCGGUACUAAUGAACCGUGAGGCUUAACCUUACAACGCCGAAG